UGACGCUCAGGUGCGGAAGCGUGGGGAGCAAACAGGAUUAGAUUCCCUGGUAGUGCACGCCGUAAACGAUGUCGAUUUAGAGGUUGUGAUCUUGAGCCGUGGCUUCUGUAGCUAACGCGUUAAAUUGACCGCCUGGGGAGUACGGUCGCAAGGCUAAAACUCAAAUGAAUUGACGGGGGGCCGCACAAGCGGUGGAGCAUGUGGUUUAAUUUGAUGCAACGCGAAGAACCUUACCUACUCUUGUCAUCCAGUGAAUCCUUUAGAGAUAGAGGAGUGCCUUCGGGAACGGUGAGACAGGUCAUGCAUGGCAGUCGUCAGCUCGUGUUGUGAAAUGUUGGGUUAAGUUCCGCAACGAGCGCAACCCUUAUCCUUUGUUUCCAGCACGUAAUGGUGGGAACUCAAAGGAGACUACCGGUGAUAAACCGGAGGAAGGUGGGGAUGACGUCAAGUCAUCAUGUCCCUUACGAGUAGGGCUACACACGUGCUACAAUGGCAGAUACAAAGAGAAGCGACCUCGCGAGAGCAAGCGGAACUCAUAAAGUCUGUCGUAGUCCGGAUUGGAGUCUGCAACUCGACUCCAUGAAGUCGGAAUCGCUAGUAAUCGUAGAUCAGAAUGCUACGGUGAAUACGUUCCCGGGCCUGUACACACCGCCCGUCACACCAUGGGAGUGGGUUGCAAAAGAAGUAGGUAGCGUAACCUUCAGGGAGGGCGCUACCACU
This 720-nucleotide ribosomal RNA is filed under the name Proteus mirabilis. Its description in RNAcentral is "bacterial SSU rRNA". It matches the Rfam family "Bacterial small subunit ribosomal RNA", at positions 741 to 1461 of the family's 1533-position model. Lineage: Bacteria; Pseudomonadati; Pseudomonadota; Gammaproteobacteria; Enterobacterales; Morganellaceae. The record is from RNAcentral.